UACAGAUCGUAGAGUUUGAUCAUGGCUCAGAUUGAACGCUGGCGGCAUGCCUUACACAUGCAAGUCGAACGGCAGCGCGGGGCAACCUGGCGGCGAGUGGCGAACGGGUGAGUAAUAUAUCGGAACGUACCCUGGAGUGGGGGAUAACGUAGCGAGAGUUACGCUAAUACCGCAUACGAUCCAUGGAUGAAAGCAGGGGACCGCAAGGCCUUGUGCUCCAGGAGCGGCCGAUAUCUGAUUAGCUAGUUGGCGGGGUAAAAGCCCACCAAGGCAUCGAUCAGUAGCUGGUCUGAGAGGACGACCAGCCACACUGGAACUGAGACACGGUCCAGACUCCUACGGGAGGCAGCAGUGGGGAAUUUUGGACAAUGGGCGCAAGCCUGAUCCAGCAAUGCCGCGUGAGUGAAGAAGGCCUUCGGGUUGUAAAGCUCUUUUGUCAGGGAAGAAACGGGUGGGGCUAAUAUCCCUACCUAAUGACGGUACCUGAAGAAUAAGCACCGGCUAACUACGUGCCAG
RNAcentral lists this ribosomal RNA (516 nucleotides) under uncultured Janthinobacterium sp. Its description in RNAcentral is "bacterial SSU rRNA". It matches the Rfam family "Bacterial small subunit ribosomal RNA", at positions 1 to 511 of the family's 1533-position model. Lineage: Bacteria; Pseudomonadati; Pseudomonadota; Betaproteobacteria; Burkholderiales; Oxalobacteraceae. The record is from RNAcentral.